This 22-nucleotide small RNA is filed under the name Arabidopsis thaliana (thale cress). Its description in RNAcentral is "Ath_wt_16480". The record is from RNAcentral. Lineage: Eukaryota; Viridiplantae; Streptophyta; Magnoliopsida; Brassicales; Brassicaceae.
CGGGUGCACCGCCGACCGACCU